Molecule: long non-coding RNA, 472 nt
Organism: Cebus imitator (Panamanian white-faced capuchin)
Lineage: Eukaryota; Metazoa; Chordata; Mammalia; Primates; Cebidae
Exons: 3
Source: RefSeq, a predicted model, not a curated record
UUAUGGCAGCAAAAGAAAGCAGGUUCAUGUGUGUACAGAAAUACAUGCGCUUUCAUAUCGUCACUGCUCUUGCCAUUCCUGCUGUCUUCCAGCCUCAGUGUCUUGUUCAAUCCCUGAUUCACAUUGACAUGCUGACGCUGUAGCUGUGUGAGCAGUCGACUACUAAUUGCCCCUGCUUUUAUACAGCAGGGGCCACCCUCUGAGCAGCUGGCAGGUGCAGGUGUGAAGAGGGGUCGACCUGUGCUCUCAGCGGCACCAUGGACAUGCCCCAAGUGUCUAGAACAGCACUGAGCACUUCACAGGCACGUCAUUUAGUGCUCAUGAAGCUCUGUGGGCUGAGUGUUGCCAUCCUGUUUUCUCGGAUGAUGAAACUGAGGCUUAGAGGGGUUAAAUCACUUGCUUAUGGCUUUACAAUCACCGAGAAUUGAAGCUCAGUCUAAGAAGGAAGUAUGUUAACAAGGAGACACAGCGA